This is a long non-coding RNA of Herpailurus yagouaroundi (jaguarundi), 245 nucleotides long. RefSeq lists it as uncharacterized. NCBI's taxonomy places the organism in Eukaryota, Metazoa, Chordata, Mammalia, Carnivora, Felidae. The transcript has 2 exons. The record is from RefSeq and is a predicted model, not a curated record.
CGCAAAUGAACAUUCAGUUUGGAUCAAAGGUUGUGGUAAGGAAAAGGGGAUUUAAUAAAUGACAUAUUGAAUUGUUUGAUCUUCAAAGUCUUGUGAGAAGACACAGCAAAGAACAGCCAAGGGCACACACCACAAUGGAAGAGAAAGGGAGAGAGAGCAAAAUCCCGUCUCUCAACUUCUCCUUCCCACUGAAGAAAAGUCCCAAUAGGCGUGAGGACAGUCAGUCUGAUUAAAGCUGCAACUGA